Non-coding RNA from Oryzias latipes (Japanese medaka), 2577 nucleotides. The record is from RefSeq and is a predicted model, not a curated record. Lineage: Eukaryota; Metazoa; Chordata; Actinopteri; Beloniformes; Adrianichthyidae.
UCCUAUGUUUCAUCCGUACGCCACUUCUGACGCAAAUCCUACGCAAAGUUUUAUAAAUGAGGCCCCAGGUCAUCAUUGGUUUGAAUUUUUGAAUCAAUAUUCAUUGAUUUUCCAGUUUCCUUCUAGAACCACUAUUUUCUACAGAUUUGACUCCUUUCAUCCAUUUACACACACUUUCAUGGAAAGAGGAACCUGCAGACAAGAUGGUUCCUCACAUCAUUUGAGGAAGCAGAAAUUAUACGACUUACCCAAAAAACUGUUAGGGUUACCAGUUGAACUAAAGUUGUUUUGAGUGAUGUGGGGGUAAUUCCAGUUCUGGUCCAGGACUUCUGGUUCUGGACGUUGAUGUCUGCAGCCAGGUCCUCUUCAUCAUGACAGCAAAACAUGAGGCUCAGUGUUUUGCCAAAGGACACUUGAACACAUGUGCAGGCAGAUUGGGAAUCAAACCUGCCUAAACUGCUCCACCUCUGCAUCAUGACCAACCCCCCCACCCACCCCCACCCCCCCACACACACUCACACUAAUGUUUUAGUAGAAAAUACAGAUGAAACCAGAAAAUAAACCCUGCAGUAUUUUUGUAUAUCACUCCUUUAAAGGUAAAUGCUGUCCUGAAGGAUGGAUGAGAAUUGGAUGCAGCUGCUACUAUAAAUCUACUGAGAAGAGACAUUGGUAUGACAGCAAGAUUUUCUGUCAGUUUGUAGGAUCUGAUCUGGUGGUGGUAAACAGCAAAGAGGAACAGGUGGGUGUGUUCACACUAGUUCCUUCCAGCUUCUUGUGUCUUGGAUUCUCCACCUGUAUGUGUGCUGCUGUUGUCUGGAUGCUGAUGGAUUCCAGCUGAAAUUCUCCUCAACAACUCAGAUUUCAUGUUUGUCUGUCAGCAACAUUUCAAAGAAACGUUGUGAUGGAACACAGAAACUCUUUUUCCCACUUCUAAUGUCUUCAAUUCCAAAUAGGCUAAACUGGGAUUCAGUAGAAAUGGACUGUUGGCCCUGAAGACAAAACAAGAAGCAAAAACUAAAUGAACAGAAAUCUGCAUCAAAGAAAGUCAGAUUUUGUUUCUCAGAUGAACUUUCUCUCAGUUUUUAGGACAAUUAUCCAGAACAGAUGAAUCCUAAAGACCAGACAUUUUUUUACUGGACAUUAAGUGGGAAAGGAAACCAAGAUGGAGAGAAUGUCAUGAUUCGGAGGAGCGGCAGACCUAGAUGCUGGAACCUAAAAUGAGGACACAGGGUAGGUGAGAGGUAAGUAAGGAUUUUUAUUCUUUCCUUCCAGGAAGAUGGUGAUAGCGUGAAUGUGAUCCAGAGAGGAGCGAAGCUUGAGGCGUGGCUGGAGGUAGUAGCGCGGCUAGCCGAGCGUGGUGUUUCCAGAACAGCAGGGGUGCUCGAAAUGACUUCCACACAGGUGACACUCGAGAGCAGGAUUCCUGAGACACGAAUAAUAUCGUUAGUUGCGAGAUCAGCAUAGGAUGCAUAAACAUGAGCGAGACUGAGACCAGGUUAGUCACCAUAAGGGGUAACGAUCUGCCGAUGUGUUGUGGAGCUGGGUCUCCUUAAGAACGGCAGAGUUGUUGAGGAUGAAUUGGUCACAGCUGGUGGAGUCAGGAGCAGAUCACAGCGGAGGGGCGGGGCUGACAGAGGCGCCAUGACAGAGAAUGCAUUAAGAAAGAACAUUUUCUUUUGUUUACUAGGAGUUUGUUUCUGCAUUGAAUCAGAAUGCAGAAUCCUGGAUCGGUUUGUAUGCUGGAAGGUCAUCAUAUAAACCUGUAUGGUUCUGGGUGGAUGGAUCACCACUGACAGAAACGUUCUGGGAUGAGAGGUUUACAGAAGAUCCGUACAUCCUCAAUGCAGUCUCCUUAAGUGCUGACGGGAAUUGGACACAACAGCAUGUAGGAAACUACAAAAACUGGAUCUGUGAGAAAAACAAUUCUGAAUCUUUCUGUUCCCGAGCUGUGCAUUGAUUCAUUCAUUUUCUUAACCGUUUUUCCCUUUCGGGGUCACGGGGCUGCUGGAGCCUAUCCCGGCCACUUGUGGGCGAAGGCAGGGGACACCCUGGACAGGUCGCCAGUCUGUCGCAGGGUAGAAUGUCCACAAACACACACCCAAUCACUCUCACAUUCACACCUAGGGACAAUUUAGAGUUGCCAAUUAACCUAUGAAGCAUGUUUUUGGAUGGUGGGAGGAAGCCGGAGACCCUGGAGAGAACCUGAAAACUUGAACUGGAGGCCUUCUCGCUGUGAGGAGAGAGCGCUUACCACUACGCCACCGUGCAGCCCUGUGCAUUGAUUUAAUUGUUUAGUAAUGUAACUACAAACAUGUUUUAUCUUUAUUAUUUCUUUGUGUUUACUUCUCCAAAAUAGUGCUUAAAGGAAGGUUGUAUUUUAGUUUCUGGUGAAUUGUUCAGAGAAAUGAAGGUGUCAUCUAUCAACAACUUCAUCACAUUUAAAUAUCAGUAAAAAUGACUCAGAUAAACAGGAAACUGUAAUAAAUGACAUGAAAAGGAGCUAACUUAGAGCAGCAGUUCAGACUCAGGUUUGGUCUGUAGCAAAUAACAAACAGCUUCCACAAAGUCAACUGAAAA